GGCGGACGGGUGAGUAACACGUGGGCAACCUGCCUUACAGAUGGGGAUAACUCCGGGAAACCGGGGCUAAUACCGAAUAAUCAGUUAGUCCGCAUGGACUAACUCUGAAAGACGGUUUCGGCUGUCACUGUGAGAUGGGCCCGCGGCGCAUUAGCUAGUUGGUGGGGUAAUGGCCUACCAAGGCGACGAUGCGUAGCCGACCUGAGAGGGUGAUCGGUCACACUGGGACUGAGACACGGCCCAGACUCCUACGGGAGGCAGCAGUAGGGAAUCUUCCACAAUGGACGAAAGUCUGAUGGAGCAAUGCCGCGUGAGCGAAGAAGGUUUUCGGAUCGUAAAGCUCUGUUGUAAGGGAAGAACACGUACGGGAGUAACUGCCCGUACCUUGACGGUACCUUAUUAGAAAGCCACGGCUAACUACGUGCCAGCAGCCGCGGUAAUACGUAGGUGGCAAGCGUUGUCCGGAAUUAUUGGGCGUAAAGCGCGCGCAGGCGGUCCUUUAAGUCUGAUGUGAAAGCCCACGGCUCAACCGUGGAGGGUCAUUGGAAACUGGGGGACUUGAGUACAGAAGAGGAAAGCGGAAUUCCACGUGUAGCGGUGAAAUGCGUAGAGAUGUGGAGGAACACCAGUGGCGAAGGCGGCU
Molecule: ribosomal RNA, 643 nt
Filed under: uncultured bacterium
Lineage: Bacteria
Description: bacterial SSU rRNA
Rfam family: Bacterial small subunit ribosomal RNA
Source: RNAcentral